Molecule: long non-coding RNA, 181 nt
Organism: Oreochromis niloticus (Nile tilapia)
Lineage: Eukaryota; Metazoa; Chordata; Actinopteri; Cichliformes; Cichlidae
Exons: 3
Source: RefSeq, a predicted model, not a curated record
UUGUUGUGGUCAAAUGCAGAUGGCAUUUCACAUGCGAGAUCUUGGGAAUCAGGCAUGGAGGUGCUUCAGAAUGGGGACAUCAGUGCACAACCAGAGAGCUGAAUGUUUUAACAGUAUUUUAAAGCGGACAUGGAUUAAGAAAUGGCUGACAACAUUUGAGGCCAUGAUGGAGUCUGGAUCC